Molecule: long non-coding RNA, 2471 nt
Organism: Helianthus annuus (common sunflower)
Lineage: Eukaryota; Viridiplantae; Streptophyta; Magnoliopsida; Asterales; Asteraceae
Exons: 2
Source: RefSeq, a predicted model, not a curated record
AUGGCCUAAAUGUGUAUCCUUAAAGCCUAGUGUAGAACUUUAAGAUUAGACUAAUCAAAGGCCUGAAUGUGUAUCCUUAAAAGCCCAGAUGAUACUGGGUUACACAAGCCCAUAACGUUCACCUAAAACCCUAAUCAGGCACACUCAAACGCCAUAAAUACGCAUAGUGAUCUUCUCUUCUUCCAUCAUUCGUAGUUCUUCUCUAAUGGCUGGACACCUUACCAUCACUGGUUAAGAGCUAAUGAUGAGAAAUACAAUUAUCUUAGCGGAUUUCAGUGAGAUUUCUUUGAAUCAAUGAUCUGAUUGUUACACACACUGAAGCUCUUAAUAAUUUAUUUUUUAUAAAAUGGGAUGUAAAUAAUAAUAAUAAUAGCAGUGAUGAGGUAAAACACAUGAGGAUGUGUUUAGGGAAGUGGACAAGACGAUUAAAACCGUUUUGCCGUGAUCCCCAAUUUAAACGACUUCUCCUUCCACUGAGCUUUUUUUUUUAUUUUCAUUCCAACUUUUAUUCAAAAAUACAGUUUUUGUCGAUUUUGAAGAGAUAUGGUGCGUCCAUUUACCAAUUCUGGAGGAUAAGUUGGUUCCUCACGGUGUAAUGGCUCGGACGCUAUAUUAAUGUUUGUGGCCAUCCUGAUCAAUGGGUUCUCAAUACCAUUGCAUCCUGGAAACACCUCAUACAUUUUAUUCUUUGUUAACAUCCAACUAUUUUAAACAUAGAUUUUUAUUUUAAGAAACGUUUUGUGUAUAUAUUGAGACUCUUUUCUACUUGCUAUGAACUUGAGUUUGAUUUGCUUUUAAAAGUAUAAUGGGUUGUGAUUUGCUAGACAGGUACUGUUGGUCGGACUCAAUUUGCUGCUUAAUGAUUUCGAGUAAUAGUGAAACUGUUACAAAGCAAAAUGAAUAUAUGGUCAUCAAACAAUUUAAGGGUGCUGAAAGUAGUAGAGAAGGAGAAAGGACAUCCCAUAAGGAUGAUGAUGAUAAGUAUGUUUUUAAGUUAUUAUUAUUGUUUACCAUUUUUCAAUUAGAAACCUGAGUUAAAAGUUUUUUUCAAGAAGCUUUGGUAAAAAAGAUAAUGCAGUUGUGAUAUUGGCAGUUCUGCUGGUGGUACGAUGAUACUUCAGUGGUCCGUUAGUAAUUCAAAUUUGCUGUUCAAAAAAUAUAUUCAUGGGUGCAAAGUUGUUGGGCGCUCUCUAGUUGUUUGACUAGGGAGCUGAGAGAACUUGGCUUAGACAGGGAGAGAAAUUAGUUUUUGCAAAUAUAAAUAUAAGUCAAAUAAUUUAAAGUCAAAUUCGGCUCAGUUGAUGAAAUUUGUCUCUGCAGCUACUAAGGAAGUAAUUGGUCUUAGAGAUCUUGCUUUACAACCAUGGUAAUAAUGUAUUAUUUAAUUUGAAGACAUGUAAAUUGUUAGUUAGUGCAGUGAUGAAGUAUAUAUUGUGGACUAGAGUUUCUGAUAUUGGGCUCUUCUUCCCAUUUUAUUUUGACGACAAACCCUUGGCUGUCUGAGCACUAUACCUUUCAUCCUAUUCAUAAGUUUUCCACUGAUUUUUUAAUACUCAGAGUUUAUUCUUUUUAUAAAUUUAGGUUAAGAGCUAAUGAUGAGAAAUACAAUUAUCUUAGCGGAUUUCAGUGAGAUUACUUUUAAUCAAUGAUCUGAUUGUUACACACACUGAAGCUCUUCAAUCUCUUUAUUUUAUUAAAUGGGAUGUUAUAGCAAUAAUGAGGUAAAAUAGAAGAUAAGUAGUUAUUUAUUAGGCCACUCGGUGUGGAGUGUCCCCUGGCCGUCAUGGGGUGGCGCCGCCAUAUCCUCCCAAUUUCCCUUGGAGUGCCGGUGUCAAGAACAGCAUCCACAAGACGUUGAAGACUUGCCAUGUGAAGACAAAAUAUUGCUCGUUCCAAAUCCACCAUCUGAAAGCUCUGAAUAACCGGUGGGUAAAAUUGAAAACUUGAACCAAGAUAAAUUUGGUGAAAAUUGAAUUUGGGGUUCUGGGUCUGAUUCUGUUGAGAUUGAAGAUCGAGUGAAGUAACGAUCUCUGUUGGUUUCCAAAUCGAAAUCUUCUCUGUCACAGUUGCCGGAGAAAGUGAUGGAAAUGGUGAACCAGAUGGCAUCAGUGAUGGUGAACCAUCUGCCAUUCUUGGUGGUGGUUGGUGAUUUUUGGUAGGGAAAAUAAUUAGUUUGGUUUUGAUAGUGUAGGCAACGGCGGUUGGAGAUGGAAGAUGGUGGAGGUUGGAUGAAGGUGGUUGUGCUGUGGUGGUUUUGUGGAGGUGGUGGUGGGGAUGGUGGUGUUUGUAUAGAGAGACUGAAAUUAGUUGGUUCUCUCUAUUUUUUUAAUACUGUUAACUUUUGUUUAAUAUUUUAAACUAGAGGAUGAUCCGCCGCGGCGGGGUAUUUCGUUCCGUGGCAGGGCAUAUCGUUUCGUUUCUCUGUUGAUAGUAUUAGUUACAAAUAAUCUUCUCAGUUUUCCUUAUGAGUU